Molecule: transfer RNA, 104 nt
Filed under: Rubrivivax sp.
Lineage: Bacteria; Pseudomonadati; Pseudomonadota; Betaproteobacteria; Burkholderiales; Sphaerotilaceae
Description: tRNA-Ser
Source: RNAcentral
GGGUAUGCAAAGCAGUCUCAGCCGAUCUGAACUCUGCGUCCCCGCUGCAAUUGAACGGACUCUUAAUCCGUUGGUCGCAGGUUCGAAUCCUGCAGGGCCCACCA